This 499-nucleotide ribosomal RNA is filed under the name uncultured bacterium. RNAcentral's name for it is "bacterial SSU rRNA". It matches the Rfam family "Bacterial small subunit ribosomal RNA", at positions 15 to 507 of the family's 1533-position model. The record is from RNAcentral.
GAUCAUGGCUCAGAUUGAACGCUGGCGGCAUGCCUUACACAUGCAAGUCGAACGGUAACAGGGAGCUUGCUCCGCUGACGAGUGGCGAACGGGUGAGUAAUGUAUCGGAACGUACCAUUCAGUGGGGGAUAACGUAGCGAAAGCUACGCUAAUACCGCAUACGAUCUGUGGAUGAAAGCGGGGGACCUUCGGGCCUCGCGCGAUUAGAGCGGCCGAUAUCAGAUUAGGUAGUUGGUGGGGUAAAGGCCCACCAAGCCGACGAUCUGUAGCUGGUCUGAGAGGACGACCAGCCACACUGGGACUGAGACACGGCCCAGACUCCUACGGGAGGCAGCAGUGGGGGAAUUUUUGGACAAUGGGCGCAAGCCUGAUCCAGCAAUGCCGCGUGCAGGAUGAAGGCCUUCGGGUUGUAAACUGCUUUUGUACGGAACGAAACGGUCCUGGUUAAUACCCGGGGCUAAUGACGGUACCGUAAGAAUAAGCACCGGCUAACUACGUG